Puntigrus tetrazona (Sumatra barb) is the source of this 2144-nucleotide long non-coding RNA. RefSeq lists it as uncharacterized. NCBI's taxonomy places the organism in Eukaryota, Metazoa, Chordata, Actinopteri, Cypriniformes, Cyprinidae. The record is from RefSeq and is a predicted model, not a curated record. The transcript has 3 exons.
GCAAACAUGUUUCCCGACAACAAGAAAAUAAAUGACGGUAGACUCCGGCUCCUGGUAAACUUUUAAGCGACGAAGCGCGAGAACUGACUCUAGCCUUUUCCGACGAGACUGUUCGAUGUCCUUCACAGGGUGGUCUUCGGAUACAGCGCAAUAAUCUGUGAGAAAUAGCUACAUUCUCGUACGGGACACCGCUUCGGGAGGACCACGUGACAGAUAGCUCGCGUGAGGUGAAGGAAGCAUCAUAACAGGUCUCCAAACAUGGGAAUGAAUGGAUUUAGAAGGAUCUUUGUGACCUUUCUUUGUUUUGGCCGCUGCUGUUGCAUCCAGAGACCUAGAGGAAUGAAGGUCUCUCUUCCUGUCCUGCUACAGGGGUCUGGCAGUUGUCUUGGUAUCUUAUCUGAUGUUUCUGAACAUUUGUUUAUGUUUUUCCACCGUCAUCCAAUCAUUGUGGGUCACAUCUCCUUUCAGUUAGAGAGGGACUGGUCCUUGGAAUACCAAUUUGACUGUUGUUCACUACAGGGGAGAAAAUUACAGAAUGUUCAUAUUUGUAGUGAUAAUUUAACAGUAGACUUAUGUUAUUUUACAGUGUCCUUUUACAGUUAAACAAGAAAGUACUGAGUAAUAUAUAGGUACCUACUUGGACAUAAUAUGGGUUAAGGUAAGAUUAAGGUUAGGUACAGAGUUAGUACUUAGUAAGUAGAUAGUAAAGACUGCUUGUGAUCCUUACAGAAUCAAAUAAACUAAUAUUAACACAUUUUACUUUAUUUUAAAGUGUUACUGACAUGAUAUGUUAUUAUGACACAUUGUCCUAACAGUAUUUUCAGGCCUUUGGAAAACUUUAACACGUCUUCAACAGUAGUCUACCAAUAUCAUAAUACUGUGUCCUAUGUACUGUAAUUAUCCAUAGAUCUGCUGCUGCUGUAAAAACACAUACAGCUCUUUCACACUGAGUCAUUAAAAUUUCAAUCAAAGCUGUGGCUGCUAUAUUAGGUGUAAGAGGUAGUUUAUGACAGAGAAGUGUUGCGUAAAUUGUGCUCUCACACACCUCCCAUUUACGGGAUGAUGGAGGUUCCAAUCUGUCGUAAUGGACUUGAAUCACAUCUCGCCUUGUGUGGCCCACAGUAAAGGAUAUUGACAAGCAAAGAUCUGUGAGAGACAGAUUUCUGUAAUAUCUGGGGGAUGGGUACAGAUUUUAAAAAAGGCAAGGGAUGAUUCAUUAUAGAUGUAUCAUUUUUAUUCUUGUUCCUGGAAGACAAACACCUGUAGUCUGUGAGGUGAGAUUACAGCUCUGAUCCAUCCCCCACAUACCCCUCCGGCAAACAGCAGACACUUUCCACAACAUUUCCACAACUGCCAUUGAUAUAACUGUGUACUGUCUUCAAGAUCAGCCAAGGACAGUUAAUAGUUUAAGUAAAGCGAUUUGUCUUCCUGAGUACACAAACAUAUGUGGUCAGUACAUGAGUGGACACAACAUAAAUAAUGCUUGUGAAAUAGUUUGUAUGGCAGAGUCUUAAAGUCCUCCAUAUGACCCCAGUUGAUGAAUCAAAUGUUGAUUGAUGUUCAACGUUAUAAACGUCAGCAUAUUGGAUCAUUGAAAAACUGGACCAUCGCUUCUUAUCAGCAUUGGUUCUUCAACUGGGGUCAUAUGCAUUGCCACUGAGUUCACUUUGCAGGGUUUUUGCAUUCACUUUGAGGGACCACCUGCAAGAAUAUCGACUCACAGAGAAAGACUAUUUACAGAACAAAGAAAGUCAUUACCGUGAGUUUUUAUUUUUGUAGCUUUAUUUGUGGAUCUUUAUCUUUAAUUUUACAGUAGGUAUAAAAUUGUAUUUGUCUUUCCUAUUGUGCACCGAACAGUCUAAACAAUAACACCACUGACAAGAGAAGUGAGUAACACUGAUUAUAUCAUUACAGUCGCAUCUGUCAGGGGGUGGAAUAUAUUAGGUGGCAAGUAAACAGUCACUUCUAGAAUUUUGUUAGAUUGGAAGCAAGCAUAAACCUCAAAAAGAAGACUUAGACGAGAGCCAAAUAGUGAUGGACCGAUUGACCCUGAAUAUGUAGAAAUGAUUGUUAAAACAUACACAAUUUUGUAAUGAGUGAAAAUUUAGGAUGGGACGUGAUUUUAUACAUCAUUAUUUGAAUAA